UACGGAGGGGGCAAGCGUUAUUCGGAAUCAUUGGGCGUAAAGGGCGCGUAGGCGGCCUGGCAAGUCAAAGGUGAAAUCCCUCGGCCCAACCGAGGAACUGCCUUUGAAACUGCAAGGCUCGAGGCCGGGAGAGGGUAGCGGAAUUCCCAGUGUAGCGGUGAAAUGCGUAGAUAUUGGGAGGAACACCAGUGGCGAAGGCGGCUACCUGGACCGGUUCUGACGCUGAUGCGCGAAAGCGUGGGGAGCAAACAGG
Molecule: ribosomal RNA, 253 nt
Filed under: uncultured bacterium
Lineage: Bacteria
Description: partial 16S ribosomal RNA
Rfam family: Bacterial small subunit ribosomal RNA
Source: RNAcentral